GCGGUGAUGGUUUAAUGGCAGAAUCUGAGAGUCCCAUCCUCAGGGUCCGGGUUCGAUUCCCGGUCGCCGCA
This 71-nucleotide transfer RNA is filed under the name Polyangiaceae bacterium. Its description in RNAcentral is "tRNA-Gly". It matches the Rfam family "tRNA". From Rfam's summary of the family: Transfer RNA (tRNA) molecules are approximately 80 nucleotides in length. Their secondary structure includes four short double-helical elements and three loops (D, anti-codon, and T loops). The record is from RNAcentral. Lineage: Bacteria; Pseudomonadati; Myxococcota; Polyangiales; Polyangiaceae.